GACGAACGCUGGCGGCGUGCCUAAUACAUGCAAGUAGAACGCUGAAGGAGGAGCUUGCUUCUCUGGAUGAGUUGCGAACGGGUGAGUAACGCGUAGGUAACCUGCCUGGUAGCGGGGGAUAACUAUUGGAAACGAUAGCUAAUACCGCAUAAGAGUAGAUGUUGCAUGACAUUUGCUUAAAAGGUGCAAUUGCAUCACUACCAGAUGGACCUGCGUUGUAUUAGCUAGUUGGUGGGGUAACGGCUCACCAAGGCGACGAUACAUAGCCGACCUGAGAGGGUGAUCGGCCACACUGGGACUGAGACACGGCCCAGACUCCUACGGGAGGCAGCAGUAGGGAAUCUUCGGCAAUGGACGGAAGGCUGACCGAGCAACGCCGCGUGAGUGAAGAAGGUUUUCGGAUCGUAAAGCUCUGUUGUAAGAGAAGAACGAGUGUGAGAGUGGAAAGUUCACACUGUGACGGUAUCUUACCAGAAAGGGACGGCUAACUACGUG
This 495-nucleotide ribosomal RNA is filed under the name uncultured bacterium. Its description in RNAcentral is "partial 16S ribosomal RNA". It matches the Rfam family "Bacterial small subunit ribosomal RNA", at positions 28 to 507 of the family's 1533-position model. The record is from RNAcentral.